Molecule: ribosomal RNA, 737 nt
Filed under: Bacillus sp. GP0507
Lineage: Bacteria; Bacillati; Bacillota; Bacilli; Caryophanales; Bacillaceae
Description: bacterial SSU rRNA
Rfam family: Bacterial small subunit ribosomal RNA
Source: RNAcentral
UGCUCCCGGAUGUUAGCGGCGGACGGGUGAGUAACACGUGGGUAACCUGCCUGUAAGACUGGGAUAACUCCGGGAAACCGGAGCUAAUACCGGAUAGUUCCUUGAACCGCAUGGUUCAAGGAUGAAAGACGGUUUCGGCUGUCACUUACAGAUGGACCCGCGGCGCAUUAGCUAGUUGGUGGGGUAAUGGCUCACCAAGGCAACGAUGCGUAGCCGACCUGAGAGGGUGAUCGGCCACACUGGGACUGAGACACGGCCCAGACUCCUACGGGAGGCAGCAGUAGGGAAUCUUCCGCAAUGGACGAAAGUCUGACGGAGCAACGCCGCGUGAGUGAUGAAGGUUUUCGGAUCGUAAAGCUCUGUUGUUAGGGAAGAACAAGUGCGAGAGUAACUGCUCGCACCUUGACGGUACCUAACCAGAAAGCCACGGCUAACUACGUGCCAGCAGCCGCGGUAAUACGUAGGUGGCAAGCGUUGUCCGGAAUUAUUGGGCGUAAAGGGCUCGCAGGCGGUUUCUUAAGUCUGAUGUGAAAGCCCCCGGCUCAACCGGGGAGGGUCAUUGGAAACUGGGAAACUUGAGUGCAGAAGAGGAGAGUGGAAUUCCACGUGUAGCGGUGAAAUGCGUAGAGAUGUGGAGGAACACCAGUGGCGAAGGCGACUCUCUGGUCUGUAACUGACGCUGAGGAGCGAAAGCGUGGGGAGCGAACAGGAUUAGAUACCCUGGUAGUCCACGCCGU